CACGUAGGGUGCGAGCGUUGUCCGGAAUUAUUGGGCGUAAAGAGCUCGUAGGCGGUGUGUCGCGUCGGCCGUGAAAACCUGCAGCUUAACUGUGGGCUUGCGGUCGAUACGGGCAUCACUGGAGUUCGGCAGGGGAGACUGGAAUUCCUGGUGUAGCGGUGAAAUGCGCAGAUAUCAGGAGGAACACCGGUGGCGAAGGCGGGUCUCUGGGCCGAUACUGACGCUGAGGAGCGACAGCGUGGGGAGCAAACAGG
This 254-nucleotide ribosomal RNA is filed under the name uncultured bacterium. Its description in RNAcentral is "partial 16S ribosomal RNA". It matches the Rfam family "Bacterial small subunit ribosomal RNA", at positions 524 to 776 of the family's 1533-position model. The record is from RNAcentral.